Molecule: ribosomal RNA, 105 nt
Filed under: Pteropus alecto (black flying fox)
Lineage: Eukaryota; Metazoa; Chordata; Mammalia; Chiroptera; Pteropodidae
Source: RNAcentral
UCCUACUGCUUCAAUUUAAAAUGACUGAUCUCAGAAGCUAAGCAGGGUUGGGCCUCGUUAGUACUUGGAUGGGAGACCACCUAGGAAGACCAGGUGCUGUAGGUG